RNAcentral lists this ribosomal RNA (253 nucleotides) under uncultured bacterium. RNAcentral describes it as "partial 16S ribosomal RNA". It matches the Rfam family "Bacterial small subunit ribosomal RNA", at positions 524 to 776 of the family's 1533-position model. The record is from RNAcentral.
UACGUAGGGCGCAAGCGUUAUCCGGAAUUAUUGGGCGUAAAGAGCUCGUAGGCGGUUUGUCGCGUCUGCCGUGAAAGUCCGGGGCUCAACUCCGGAUCUGCGGUGGGUACGGGCAGACUAGAGUGCGGUAGGGGAGACUGGAAUUCCCGGUGUAGCGGUGAAAUGCGCAGAUAUCAGGAGGAACACCGGUGGCGAAGGCGGAUCUCUGGGCCGAUACUGACGCUGAGGAGCGAAAGCGUGGGGAGCGAACAGG